GAUGAACGCUGACAGAAUGCUUAACACAUGCAAGUCUUUGGCGAAGCUGUGCUUGCACAGCCUAGCCAAGGCGGACGGGUGAGUAACGCGUAAGGAACUUGCCCUGCAGUCAGGGAUAACAGACGGAAACGACUGAUAAGACCUGGUAAAAUCAGGCGGACUCAUGUCCAGCCUGAUGAAAAGAGAUGCUGCAGGAGAGCCUUGCGUCCUAUUAGCUUGUUGGUGGGGUAACGGCCCACCAAGGCGAUGAUAGGUAGCCGGCCUGAGAGGGUGGACGGCCACAAGGGGACUGAGAUACGGCCAUUACUCCUACGGGAGGCAGCAGUGGGGAAUAUUGGACAAUGGGGGCAACCCUGAUCCAGCAAUUCUGUGUGCACGAUGAAGGUUUUCGGAUUGUAAAGUGAUUUCAGCAGGGAAGAAAAAAAUGACGGUACCUGCAGAAGAAGCGACGGCUAAAUACGUG
This 463-nucleotide ribosomal RNA is filed under the name uncultured bacterium. Its description in RNAcentral is "partial 16S ribosomal RNA". It matches the Rfam family "Bacterial small subunit ribosomal RNA", at positions 28 to 507 of the family's 1533-position model. The record is from RNAcentral.